CAGGAUGAACGCUAGCGGGAGGCUUAACACAUGCAAGUCGAGGGGCAGCAUAGAGUAGCAAUACUUUGAUGGCGACCGGCGCACGGGUGAGUAACGCGUAUGCAACCUACCCUGUACAGGGGGAUAGCCCGGAGAAAUUCGGAUUAAUAUCCCAUAAUGAUAUUUGAAGGCAUCUUUAGAUAUUUAAAGUUUCGACGGUACGGGAUGGGCAUGCGUGACAUUAGCUAGUUGGUAGGGUAACGGCCUACCAGGCUGCGAUGUCUAGGGGUCCUGAGAGGGUGAUCCCCCACACUGGUACUGAGACACGGACCAGACUCCUACGGGAGGCAGCAGUGAGGAAUAUUGGUCAAUGGGCGUAAGCCUGAACCAGCCAUCCCGGGGGAAGGAAGAAGGCGCUAUGCGUCGUAAACUUCUUUUCCAGGGGAAGAAAACCCGCUACGAGUAGCGGCUUGCCGGUACCCUGGGAAUAAGCAUCGGCUAACUCCGUGCCAGCAGCCCGCGGUAAUACGGAGGAUGCGAGCGUUAUCCGGAUUUAUUGGGUUUAAAGGGUGCGUAGGCGGAUUAAUAAGUCAGUGGUGAAAACCUGCAGCUUAACUGUAGAAUUGCCAUUGAUACUGUUAGUCCUGAGUACGGUCAAGGUAGGCGGAAUGUGUAAUGUAGCGGUGAAAUGCUUAGAUAUUACACAGAACACCGAUUGCGAAGGCAGCUUACUGGGCCAUUACUGACGCUGAUGCACGAAAGCGUGGGGAGCGAACAGGAUUAGAUACCCCUGGUAGUCCACGCCGUAAACGAUGAUCACUCGCUGUUAGCGAUACACAG
RNAcentral lists this ribosomal RNA (819 nucleotides) under uncultured bacterium. Its description in RNAcentral is "bacterial SSU rRNA". It matches the Rfam family "Bacterial small subunit ribosomal RNA", at positions 25 to 836 of the family's 1533-position model. The record is from RNAcentral.